AACGAACGCUGGCGGCAUGCCUUACACAUGCAAGUCGAACGGUAACGCGGGGCAACCUGGCGACGAGUGGCGAACGGGUGAGUAAUGUAUCGGAACGUGCCCAGUUGUGGGGGAUAACUGCUCGAAAGAGCAGCUAAUACCGCAUACGACCUGAGGGUGAAAGCGGGGGAUCGCAAGACCUCGCGCAAUUGGAGCGGCCGAUAUCAGAUUAGGUAGUUGGUGGGGUAAAGGCUCACCAAGCCAACGAUCUGUAGCUGGUCUGAGAGGACGACCAGCCACACUGGGACUGAGACACGGCCCAGACUCCUACGGGAGGCAGCAGUGGGGAAUUUUGGACAAUGGGGGCAACCCUGAUCCAGCCAUGCCGCGUGCGGGAAGAAGGCCUUCGGGUUGUAAACCGCUUUUGUCAGGGAAGAAAAGACUCCUGUUAAUACCGGGGGUUCAUGACGGUACCUGAAGAAUAAGCACCGGCUAACUACGUGCCAGCCGCCGCGGUAA
RNAcentral lists this ribosomal RNA (498 nucleotides) under uncultured bacterium. RNAcentral's name for it is "partial 16S ribosomal RNA". It matches the Rfam family "Bacterial small subunit ribosomal RNA", at positions 29 to 523 of the family's 1533-position model. The record is from RNAcentral.